Non-coding RNA from Microcebus murinus (gray mouse lemur), 307 nucleotides. The record is from RefSeq and is a predicted model, not a curated record. NCBI's taxonomy places the organism in Eukaryota, Metazoa, Chordata, Mammalia, Primates, Cheirogaleidae.
CCAGCGGUUACUGCCCACACCCUGGGGCUGGGCAGCGGCGGUGACAACGCCAGCUUUUCUCCCUUCCGUGGACUGCAUGACCCAGGAAGGACCCCUGGACCGGCUGAAGAGCCACUAUGAUCCCUAAGCUACUGCCCUUCCUCUGUUUCAGGCUGUGUGUUGGCCAAGGAGACAUAAGGGGAAAUGGGUCCCUGCCCAAGCCCUCCCUCGGUGCCUGGCCCAGCUCGGUGGCCCCUGCCAGCAGCAACGUGACCCUGCGAUGCUGGACUCCCGCCAGGGGCGUGCACUUUGCUCUCAGAAAGGGAGG